This 584-nucleotide ribosomal RNA is filed under the name uncultured bacterium. Its description in RNAcentral is "partial 16S ribosomal RNA". It matches the Rfam family "Bacterial small subunit ribosomal RNA", at positions 355 to 1375 of the family's 1533-position model. The record is from RNAcentral.
UGGGGAAUUUUGGACAAUGGGCGAAAGCCUGAUCCAGCAAUGCCGCGUGUGUGAAGAAGGCCUUCGGGUUGUAAAGCACUUUUGUCCGGAAAGAAAUCCUUGGCUCUAAUACAGUCGGGGGAUGACGGUACCGGAAGAAUAAGCACCGGCUAACUACGUGCCAGCAGCCACGGUAAUACGUAGGGUGCAAGCGUUAAUCGGAAUUACUGGGCGUAAAGCGUGCGCAGGCGGUUUGCUAAGACCGAUGUGAAAUCCCCGGGCUCAACCUGGGAACUGCAUUGGUGACUGGCAGGCUAGAGUAUGGCAGAGGGGGGUAGAAUUCCACGUGUAGCAGUGAAAUGCGUAGAGAUGUGGAGGAAUACCGAUGGCGAAGGCAGCCCCCUGGGCCAAUACUGACGCUCAUGCACGAAAGCGUGGGGAGCAAACAGGAUUAGAUACCCUGGUAGUCCACGCCCUAAACGAUGUCAACUAGUUGUUGGGGAUUCAUUUCCUAGUAACGUAGCUAACGCGUGAAGUUGACCGCCUGGGGAGUACGGUCGCAAGAUUAAAACUCAAAGGAAUUGACGGGGUCAUAGCUGUUUCCU